This 79-nucleotide transfer RNA is filed under the name Bartonella quintana str. Toulouse. RNAcentral describes it as "tRNA-Met". It matches the Rfam family "tRNA". Rfam says of the family: Transfer RNA (tRNA) molecules are approximately 80 nucleotides in length. Their secondary structure includes four short double-helical elements and three loops (D, anti-codon, and T loops). Lineage: Bacteria; Pseudomonadati; Pseudomonadota; Alphaproteobacteria; Hyphomicrobiales; Bartonellaceae. The record is from RNAcentral.
UGGCGGAGUAGCUCAGUAGGUUAGAGCAGAGGAAUCAUAAUCCUUGUGUCGGGGGUUCAAAUCCCUCCUCCGCUACCAU